This 26-nucleotide non-coding RNA is filed under the name Cricetulus griseus (Chinese hamster). The record is from RNAcentral. Lineage: Eukaryota; Metazoa; Chordata; Mammalia; Rodentia; Cricetidae.
UACGGAAGCUGGGAGAGCCAAACUUU